RNAcentral lists this long non-coding RNA (502 nucleotides) under Phoenix dactylifera (date palm). Its description in RNAcentral is "long non-coding RNA (PDAC_LNC022868)". The record is from RNAcentral. Lineage: Eukaryota; Viridiplantae; Streptophyta; Magnoliopsida; Arecales; Arecaceae.
CUAGGUAAUGGUGUAAUUAUGAAAGAUAUUGAUAUGUUAGUCCUGUACUAUUUUGCAUAAACAUUAGCACAAUUCAUAUCGCACCAGCUCAUCCUUUUUACUCAUUAUGUUGUCAUGAGUUAAAUUAACAUUAAAUAGUUAGUGAUUUGCUACCCUCUAAAACAAUAUAAGCAUACUUCAUAACAUAUCAACAGAAUUAUCUUGAAACAACCAAAAAUGUAUUGUCAAAUAUCUCAAACUAUGCAAUCCACUUUAAAUGAUUCCUAUUAUGUUAUCUUACAUCAUUUUAGGUUUUAUUAUUUUCAGUUCUUUACUUUUGGAUUGUCAUAUCUUUUACUAUAUUUUAGUUGAAACCUUAGCAACAUGAAACUUCUGCCUAGGUUAAUGCAUCUGCUUUAGAAUCUCCUUUUGAAACAUGUUCCCACAACCGCUUCUAAUUGAGGUAACUAAAUCUGAAAAUGCUGAAAGUAAAGCUCAUUCUGCCCAACAAGAAAACCAGGAU